RNAcentral lists this unclassified non-coding RNA (341 nucleotides) under Hevea brasiliensis (rubber tree). The record is from RNAcentral. Lineage: Eukaryota; Viridiplantae; Streptophyta; Magnoliopsida; Malpighiales; Euphorbiaceae.
GUCAUCGGAUCUGCAUUCUCCAUUGGUAGCGGACAUAGUCUUGACGGAGUCACUUGUCUGCUGCAAUAAGACUCGUCUAUUAUUCUCCUCCUCUCGCUUCACUACCAAAUAAACUAUAUAGUAGAAAGCGAAAAGCCCCGCGAUGGAGGCCAAGAUCCAUCCUAGCAAGUAAUGAUCCGCCAUUUUCAUUUGGAAUCCGAUUACAGAAGCAGAAACGACAAGGGAGAGACGUUUUAAUCUCUCUCUCUCUUUCUGUGUUUGUCUGGCUGGAGAAGCUCUGGAUUUCUCUAUCUGGUGGGGUGGUUUUGUUUUUGUUGGCUAGAGUACGAAAGCUUCGCUGG